RNAcentral lists this RNase P RNA (448 nucleotides) under Chloroflexota bacterium. RNAcentral's name for it is "RNase P RNA component class A". It matches the Rfam family "Bacterial RNase P class A". From Rfam's summary of the family: Ribonuclease P (RNase P) is a ubiquitous endoribonuclease, found in archaea, bacteria and eukarya as well as chloroplasts and mitochondria. Its best characterised activity is the generation of mature 5'-ends of tRNAs by cleaving the 5'-leader elements of precursor-tRNAs. Lineage: Bacteria; Bacillati; Chloroflexota. The record is from RNAcentral.
CGGGUGGGCCGGGUGACCGCUUCGACACACGUCGGGGAGGAAAGUCCGGGCUCCACUGGGCAGGGUGCUGGGUAACGCCCAGGGUCCGGUCGUCCUCGGAUGGCUGGAUACGGAAAGUGACACAGAAACCGUACCGUCCCAACUUGUCCCGAACUCGGGACUUAUCGGGAUAAGGGUGAAAACGCGAGGUAAGAGCUCACGGCCGACUGCGGUGACGUAGCGGCGGUCAAACCCCACCUGGAGCAAGGCCAAAUAGGGGGAUAUUGGGCGCCCGGCCCAUCCCCGGGUAGGCCGCUUGACCCCGAUGGUAACAUCGUCCCCACGAUUAAGUGGGGAUUCCGGCUCCUUACAGGCGCUGGAAGGGCUAGAGAGAUGGUCACCGUCCCGACUCGUCCCGAACUCGGGACUCGUCGGGAUACAGAACCCGGCUUACAGGCCCGCCCGGCUC